GUUGGCCCAUUAUUUAUUUCUUAUUGUAUUUUCUUAUUUAUUUUUAUGAGGCGCACUAGUUAACACCCAAGAGCCCUUGGCUCAGUGGAAAGGGGGUUGACCCAUGACCCCAAGGUCAGGGGUUCAACCCCCUGCGCGCCCAUUUUUUUUUUAUUUUUCUAACUUUUCCUUUUUAUUUUUAUAUUUCUUCUUUUUUAUUUGUUUUCUUUUCCAUUUUUAUU
This 221-nucleotide long non-coding RNA is filed under the name Lathyrus oleraceus (garden pea). RNAcentral's name for it is "Pisum sativum (pea) long non-coding RNA (PSAT_LNC035862)". Lineage: Eukaryota; Viridiplantae; Streptophyta; Magnoliopsida; Fabales; Fabaceae. The record is from RNAcentral.